This 312-nucleotide ribosomal RNA is filed under the name Triticum aestivum (bread wheat). RNAcentral describes it as "partial small subunit ribosomal RNA". The record is from RNAcentral. Lineage: Eukaryota; Viridiplantae; Streptophyta; Magnoliopsida; Poales; Poaceae.
AUGAAAUGCGCAGAAGGAGAUACUUAUGUUAUUCUGUUGUUGCAGACACCUUGUGCUUUGUGCAGACCAUCAAUGCCUUUUCCUCCUGUUCGGCCAGGAGAUGAAUGCUUUCUAAACAUUGGUAAUAACAAUGAGAUCAGAGAGUACUGCUCUAUUGAUUGCUCUUCUAAAUCUUGUGAGUGCAAGGCAUGCAAAGUGUUAACUGAAACCCCAUGGCCUACUCGCCAUCGUCAACUUCCUCUUUGCGCUCGCCGUCAACGCUCCCAUGGGCGGAGCCACAAGGGGAUGGAUGUACAUAUGUACACCCGUUAA